Long non-coding RNA from Hemicordylus capensis (graceful crag lizard), 874 nucleotides. RefSeq lists it as uncharacterized. NCBI's taxonomy places the organism in Eukaryota, Metazoa, Chordata, Lepidosauria, Squamata, Cordylidae. The transcript is spliced from 4 exons. The record is from RefSeq and is a predicted model, not a curated record.
GCGCGGACCUGUCCUUCAGGAGGCGCCGUUAACAGUAGGAGCGGCGGCAGGAGCAGCAGGAGCACCUCCGCUACGGAGCGGCAAUGUCGGGACCCCAUCGCUCGGCUGCCUCAACCUUCAGCGCCCGCUGUCGCUGACACUGCUGCGGAUGGUGCCGCUGCUGCUACCCCCCGCGGUUCGGCCCAGCGCGCAUACGCAGGGGGAGGUGUCUGCGGGCGGGCGGGCGGCCGACCCGCCCCGAGCCUCGGCCUCCCCUCACGUGCAGGCGCCGGGUGGCCGGCGAGAGACUGCCUGGGAGUGCGUAGAUGUUUAUGUGCAGUCGCCUCUUUCUUUUUCCCGCGCUUCUGCCAAAGGUCGUUUCCCCCAGAGUUAAGCUGUCGGGAAAUGCUUGCAGCAAGAGAUAGAUCAGAUGUCAAUUCCUUUAACAAGGGAUGCCUCCAGUGUUAUGUUGAACUCCUGCAAGGUCUGCAGCACACGGAUCAAGGAGUUCACUAGGGUAUGAUCCUUCAUCAGUGCUGUAUCCUCAUACAUCUGACCUGUGAUGGGGCAGUCUGCCAGCAAGGCAAUCCAAUGGUGUAAGAGGUGAUCCCUGCAACAAAAAGUGUUAGAAUUCCAGAACAAGGACAAGCCCCGGCAUUUCCAGUUCAAAAGAUCUUGGGCUGCAAAGGUGGAAAAGACCUCUGCAUGAGAGCCACUACCAGCUUUCAAAAUUUCAUAGAAUAAGUGAAAUAUUUGAAGUGACUUGGUCAAAGGACUAAAAAUGUGGAUAGCAGAACAAAAAAGAAAGAAAACUGAUCGCUGUGAAAGCAAUUCUGUCAUUCUUCCAUCAUUGAAAAGCAUAUGCAAAUGAAUCAAAGAAGUGGCACAAUACCUG